AAUAAAUACAGUUUUACAUUGUUCAUGUCUAAUGUUUGACCGUUCGUCUUAUUUGAAAAAAUUUUGUAAUUAGUAUUUUUUUAGUUAUUAGAUAAUAAAACAUGAAUAGUACUUUAUGUGUGACUAUUUUUUUUAUAAAUUUUUUAAAUAAGACAGACGGUCAAACGUUAGAUACGGAUAUCAGCUGCACUUAUU
Non-coding RNA from Oryza glaberrima (African rice), 195 nucleotides. The record is from Rfam. Lineage: Eukaryota; Viridiplantae; Streptophyta; Magnoliopsida; Poales; Poaceae.